AACCUGAACGCUCAACGUUCAGCCUGCCGUUGAAACUGCCGGGCUUGAGUUCAGUGGCGGCAGGCGGAAUUCGUGGUGUAGCGGUGAAAUGCAUAGAUAUCACGAGGAACUCCGAUUGCGAAGGCAGCUUGCCAUACUGCGACUGACACUGAAGCACGAAGGCGUGGGUAUCAAACAGGAUUAGAUACCCUGGUAGUCCACGCAGUAAACGAUGAUUACUAGGAGUUUGCGAUAUACCGUCAAGCUUCCACAGCGAAAGCGUUAAGUAAUCCACCUGGGGAGUACGCCGGCAACGGUGAAACUCAAAGGAAUUGACGGGGGCCCGCACAAGCGGAGGAACAUGUGGUUUAAUUCGAUGAUACGCGAGGAACCUUACCCGGGAUUGAAAUGUAGAUGACGGAUGGUGAAAACCGUCUUCCCUUCGGGGCGUCUAUGUAGGUGCUGCAUGGUUGUCGUCAGCUCGUGCCGUGAGGUGUCGGCUUAAGUGCCAUAACGAGCGCAACCCACAUCGGUAGUUACUAACAGUUUUCGCUGAGGACUCUACCGAGACUGCCGUCGUAAGGCGUGAGGAAGGUGUGGAUGACGUCAAAUCAGCACGGCCCUUACAUCCGGGGCGACACACGUGUUACAAUGGGAGGGACAAAGGGCAGCUACCGGGCGACCGGAUGCGAAUCUCUAAACCCUUCCCCAGUUCGGAUCGGAGUCUGCAACUCGACUCCGUGAAGCUGGAUUCGCUAGUAAUCGCGCAUCAGCCAUGGCGCGGUGAAUACGUUCCCGGGCCUUGUACACACCGCCCGUCAAGCCAUGGGAGUCGGGGGUACCUGAAGGGCGUAACCGCAAGGGGCGCACUAGGGUAAUACCGGUGACUGGGGCUAAGUCGUAACAAGGUAGCCGUACCGGAAGGUGCGGCUGGAACACCUCCUUU
RNAcentral lists this ribosomal RNA (925 nucleotides) under Porphyromonas gingivalis. Its description in RNAcentral is "bacterial SSU rRNA". It matches the Rfam family "Bacterial small subunit ribosomal RNA", at positions 598 to 1533 of the family's 1533-position model. Lineage: Bacteria; Pseudomonadati; Bacteroidota; Bacteroidia; Bacteroidales; Porphyromonadaceae. The record is from RNAcentral.